AAAAAACGAUGAGGCAGCGAAAAGAAAUAGAGCCGGCAGUGCCAAUGGCAUUGCCGUUUUCAAUGGGGGAUAUCUAAACCCAUCCAAAAUCGAGUAUCAAUUGGAGGACAAGUCUGGUGCCAGCACCCGCGGUAAUUCCASCUCCAAAAGCGUAUAUUAAUGCUGUUGCUGUUAAAGGGUU
Molecule: ribosomal RNA, 181 nt
Filed under: Trypanosoma copemani
Lineage: Eukaryota; Euglenozoa; Kinetoplastea; Trypanosomatida; Trypanosomatidae
Description: partial small subunit ribosomal RNA
Source: RNAcentral